GUUUUAAUAAUUUAAUAAAAUAUUGGUCUUGUAAAUCAAAAAUGAGAUUUAAUCUCUUAAAACU
This 64-nucleotide transfer RNA is filed under the name Meropathus sp. BMNH 675618. RNAcentral describes it as "tRNA-Thr". It matches the Rfam family "tRNA". From Rfam's summary of the family: Transfer RNA (tRNA) molecules are approximately 80 nucleotides in length. Their secondary structure includes four short double-helical elements and three loops (D, anti-codon, and T loops). Lineage: Eukaryota; Metazoa; Arthropoda; Insecta; Coleoptera; Hydraenidae. The record is from RNAcentral.